UCUACCUGUAGCAACGACGUUCGGAAGGAUGAAGAGACAGGGACACUCAUCACCUCCUGUCCUGUCCCCUAAAUGUAUUCCCCCCGCACCCUGGAGUCCCAUCUACCUUCGAAACCAGCAUUAGAGUUGAUCUCCCAAAUUUGGAGCUGGCCUCGUGGCUAAGUUCCUGCCAUACCUGCACCUUGUGCUCUUCUAAGCACUUCCUGUUGUGCCCAAGCAGAAACCCCCAGACUCCGAACUGCUCUUGGCAAGCCCCACACGCUGUUGCUGUGGGUCUCAGUGAAGUCACACUUGGGGAGUCAAAUUCGAUUUCCUGCUGACCCUGACUGCUGAUGGCAGCAGUGUGUCACAGUCUGACACUGAAAUCCUGCAACACCCAAAUGCCAGACCCCAUGUGAGACCGUGACCGUGGAUUCCAAAGCUCCCACGGACGCCCAGAGCUCCUUUCCUUCCUCCUCCUGCCACACAUGCUCCUGUUGUGUGUUUUCAUCACACACCAGCUGCCUUCACUGCCGUCUCCUCUCUCCACUGGGGGGUGGGGGACGUUUCCACGGCAACACUCGUGCCUGCUCUGUGUGCUAGUGUGGAGAGGCCUGGCUGAAAUCCGCCUUGGAGAUCUGCAUAGAGAUUGUAAGCUUGCCUUUUAUUUCUCUUAUUUACACACUUUCUCAGUGAAGGACGUUGAGGGGAAUGGAAAGGCGCACCGAGCUCUCUGGGAGGCAGGGGAAGGACCACAGAUUAAACUGCCCCCUUCAGGUUGAGGCCAAGCUAGCCAGCAUCACUGCUCUUGCACAUAAAGGCCAGUCCAUUAGUGUGGUUUCACGAAGGCGACUCCACAUCCCAUGUGGUCUGAAGGAAAUGUGCUAAUGGGAGCAGCCUGAUUUUUCCGUAGGUGAUUUCACUUGCUGUUAAACAGGAAAACAGGCCCAUUACAGUGGCUCUCAGCUCUGGCCAGACUCUACUGGAAUCACCCAGGAACCUUAAAAAGAUUGUGAUGCUGGGCCCUGGCCUUUACCUUCACCCCCAUCCCUGAGGUUUUAUGAUUGAAAUAAGCUGGGGAAUUUACUGAGCAGGAGGAUUGUAAAAAGCUUCCUACGUGUCUUUAACGUGCAGCCUACCGCAUCAGCCCUCAAGUGGGAUGCUCUCUGUGUUAGGGGAGAACUGCACAGGUUCAGGUAGAGCCCUGGGCACGGGCAUUUUAAGGAACAGGAAUACGAAAAAAUAAAGGUUAGGCCCUGAAUGUGUUUACAAUUUGGUAACUCUGUAGAAUCUGGUUCAAGGCCAGAUGUUCUGAAGGUGCCACAGGAAUACUUAAUGAUUAUAAAUGACAGGAUUAGCCUUCCAUAUCCCGAGUUCAUGAGUCUUAAAAACUCUGGAAGCUACUGGGAUUAAAUGUCAAGUGGUUUCCUUUGACAACUUGCCCGGAUCCCACUGAAAGUACAAGCAAUUGAGACUAUGCGGGGGCAAAGGUGAGCAUGACAAGGUCUGAUGACUUAAGGUAUUUCCCAAUAUUGGGAAGGGCUUCGAUUUUCUAGAAGAGCAAAAGCAAGGGAACAGAGAAGGCUGAGAAUGCCCCCAGCCUGCGGAGGCAUCUGGACAAGAAGAGUUCCGUUUGUUCAGUGGACAUCAGUGCCCUUUCCAGCAAAGCAAUCACAGAGAGCCCAGGCUGCCACGAAGCCAAGGUGAACAGGGAGGAAUUCAGCUACCCUUAACUUCAUUAGGGAGAGAUGUUGAGUGGAAAAAAAACCUCCCCAGAAGGCAAUGCCCUGACCCGGGCUUCGUUGGCUCUCCUAUGCCACCUGGACUAAAGACAUCACUCCUGAACUCCAAGAGCGCACUGUGAAGGAUGGACAGAGAGAGCAAGGAGACACAGACUCUGAAGCAGGCUCCAGGCUCUGAGCUGUCAGCACAGAACCCGAAGUGGGGGGUCGAACUCAUGAACUGUGAGAUCAUGACAUGAACUGUGAGCGAAGUCGGACGCUCAACUGACCCAGCCACCCAGGCGCCCCUUCAAAAGGUGCCCCUUUUGGUCGUAAGAACUCUCAAUUCAAACUGCUUGAAGAAUCCUGAGUGCUGGGCAGGAAUGUCAUUCACAGGAAUUACUGUGGCUUCUGGGAUCCAUCACCUCUGGAUGUUAGGGAACCAGUGCUGGAGCUCCGCAGAACAUUUCUGACAGUUUGAAAAAUAUUCUUUAAAAUGUUAGGAAUUUUCUGCUUAACUCAGGUCAGCUUCGAAGGCCCAGACUGUGGUCCCCUGAGGUGCAGCCCUCCCUGUCCACUCUCAUCUCUCUGAUGGCGCUCUUGCCAAAAGUGCCAUGUCCCAUCAAGACUGCCCUGCAGAGCGACAUUCUGGAAACCCUUUCUCUGCAGGCAUGGUCUUUUUCCAGUAGUGAUAUUAAAAAGCAAAGGGGGCUAAAUGCAAUGUGGUAUCCUGACAGAGAAAAACGACGUUAGUGAAAUGUGUUCCGUGAAAUCUGAAUUAAGUCUGUGGUUAACUGUGU
This is a long non-coding RNA of Neofelis nebulosa (Clouded leopard), 2500 nucleotides long. RefSeq lists it as uncharacterized. The record is from RefSeq and is a predicted model, not a curated record. NCBI's taxonomy places the organism in Eukaryota, Metazoa, Chordata, Mammalia, Carnivora, Felidae. The transcript is spliced from 2 exons.